UAACCAUUCUAACGAAGUAAAGGUGAUGUAACCAUUCUAAUGUAGUAAAGUGAUGUAACCAUUUUAAUGAAGUAAAGUGAUGUAACCAUUCUAACGAAGUAAAGGUGAUGUAACCAUUCUAAUGUAGUAAAGGUGAUGUAACCAUUCUAACGAAGUAAAGGUGAUGUAACCAUUCUAAUGAAGUAAAGGUGAUGUAACCAUUCUAACGAAGUAAAGGUGAUGUAACCAUUCUAACGAAGUAAAGGUGAUGUAACCAUUCUAACGAAGUAAAGGUGAUGUAACCAUUCUAAUGUAGUAAAGGUGAUGUAACCAUUCUAACGAAGUAAAGGUGAUGUAACCAUUCUAAUGUAGUAAAGGUGAUGUAACCAUUCUAACGAAGUAAAGUGAUGUAACCAUUCUAACGAAGU
Limulus polyphemus (Atlantic horseshoe crab) is the source of this 407-nucleotide long non-coding RNA. RefSeq lists it as uncharacterized. The transcript is spliced from 3 exons. NCBI's taxonomy places the organism in Eukaryota, Metazoa, Arthropoda, Merostomata, Xiphosura, Limulidae. The record is from RefSeq and is a predicted model, not a curated record.